AAACUAAAAGAUUGUCGUGGAGGACUAUGGAAGCUUUUUCAGUCAGUUCAAAUCUAUUGAACCUUUCCAUCUUGCAGAACUGAAAUUCCAUGGCUGCUGAACUAAUGGCCAGCCCCUGGGAACCGCCAUUCUACCUUCUACAUCUAUACAUUUGACUGCUUUACAUCCCUCAGAAAAUCCCCAAAGAGGAAAAUGCCAUCCAUGUGAUUUGGAGAAAAGGAACUUGGUCAGAUACUGAGACCAGGACCUGAUCUAGUAGCAGAGAAGAGGCUGUGUGGGACCCUGUGUUGCAACACAGGAUAAGCUCUUCCUAUUUUGCAAGAGGAACUGCCUAGGCUGUGUUCCAGUCUCUCAGCCUCGAGCUCACACUGAGUCAUGUGACACUCCUUUGUGAGCAUAGCAGUGGACGGCACCUUGCUGUUGAAAUCCAAGGAGUGCUGGCAGCUGCCGAACAGGAAAACCAACAGAGAUCACACCUCCCAGAAGAUGGCUGUUUCAAAGUGAGUUCUGGGUUUCCAUGGACUCCUCGAGGGAAAUUUCCAGGGAUAUUUUCUACUUGAUUACCUUAUUCAUAUUUACAUCUCAAGAGCUUUGCCAAAUACAUCAUCUAAACAGAAGAGCAAUAAGAAGUCAUGCAGAAGACUAUUGGACUAAAACUUAGGACCUGAGUUCUGGUACAAACCAGCAGGAAAACCAUGGAGGGUGAAUUUGAAGGAGGGGAUCUGUGUCUCAGCCUUUGCACAACCACCUCACCCCAUAUGUCUGCACUAAGGAGAUGACACAUCAAGAAACAUGUCCCGGUCAAUCCCAAAACUUUCCGAUGGAGUAGUGAAAAUGAGUGAAUACGACAUAUAUGAAGGUACCAGCUACUGACUUCCUCCUGCAAGAAAGCCAAGGUGCCACAAAGACGGAGCUGUGCAUGUGCGGACAACACCUCUUCAUGGCCUGCUGUCGGUCAUGGUUAUACUGGUGUGGUUUGAGGGCAGGGGCUGAGAUGGGACCUCCAGAGCUGCCCAGCAAUCCUGUUCUGUGGCUCUUCGCCACAGCCAGGGACAGUGGUAAGGCGGCCCUUGUGGCUCCACCUCCUGGAAUGCAUCCCUCCCACCACCCUGCAGAGAUCCGGUCACCUGAGCUUGUGCUCAUCUUCUGAAGGUCCCAGAGUACAUUCCAUGAAGUCGCUGCCAAGUCUUGCUCGUCAUGGCCUUUCCUACGAUGUUUUGCAUGUGUGUACCCGCAGAUGUUUUUUAACUGACUUGAGGACAAAGGGAUGUCAUUUAAGGAAUUAUAUUUUCUGUUUACCAUCUCACCAACCCCAGACUCCCUGAGACCAUCCAUUCUUUUUCUGGCCUUUCUCUGCCCUUUCUCCGAGGAGAGCCAUCAGCUUCCAACUUUCUCACUUCUGGUUUCCAUUUGGGUUCCACACUCAGGAGACUAAUGGUGGCAGGACAGAGAGGUGGAGAAUAGCUUCCCGUGCUUAGCCAGCCUGCAAUGUUUGUGUCCUUCUAAGACUGUGAUUUCUCUAGGGUCACUCCUCUUCUAAGGCUCUACCUCUCAACUGGGGUCCCAUCACAUCAUUUUCUCCCUCUGUCUUUCCUGGCCUGGGGCCUCAGCAUCCUUUGUUGAUUCUCCUGCCCUGCUCACACUAUGGUAAGUAGUCUCUUCAUUAGGAUCUCUCCAGAAUCCCAGUAAAAUGUGUAGUUUCUUUGCCAGGAACUUGACUGACACAUGAGUCUUUGGUUUAGUUGGGGAUGAGACUAGAAUAACUUUAUAAGUUACCAUCCUACCCAGGACACUUAUGGGAGGGAGAUGGGGCACUGCUAAUCAUUAUCAUUAUCAUCACUGCUAAUAACCACCACCACAGGCAUAGAGUAGAACUGUUUCAGGCUACCUGGAAUGGAUGGACGUCCUAGGAAAGUGAGACAAAGAAGCAGAUCACUGUUAUAACGGAAAGAUAAAACCUUUCUAAAAGAGAUAGUAUUUCAGGAUAGCGUAAGAUAAAUGCCAAAGGGUGGAAUAGACUUUCAGUGCUGUAGCCGUGCCAAGUAAAGCGAGAUCAUUUCUCCUCAGGGAAGACUAUUGAGAUCAGCACGAUGCUCGGUGCUCCUUCUCCAAGUAAAUGAAGUCACGCAAUCCAUGUGUGCUUGGCCCGUUUUGUAGAUUUUCUCCAAGAAAUCUCAUUCCCAGUUUAGACCCACCUCCACCCUCACACACCCCUAGCAUAAUUCUCCCUGUGUCUUUCUA
Mustela erminea (ermine) is the source of this 2241-nucleotide long non-coding RNA. RefSeq lists it as uncharacterized. The record is from RefSeq and is a predicted model, not a curated record. NCBI's taxonomy places the organism in Eukaryota, Metazoa, Chordata, Mammalia, Carnivora, Mustelidae. The transcript has 9 exons.